Long non-coding RNA from Globicephala melas (long-finned pilot whale), 1016 nucleotides. RefSeq lists it as uncharacterized. NCBI's taxonomy places the organism in Eukaryota, Metazoa, Chordata, Mammalia, Artiodactyla, Delphinidae. The record is from RefSeq and is a predicted model, not a curated record.
AGGCUGCAUCCCGCACCUCAAAUGCAUUUCCGCUGGCGCUCAACCGCUGGAAGCUGCGUCUUGCGGCCUAGUCGCCGGGAACCGUGCAGCAUCUUCUCUCGUCGUCCCCUAUGACCUGCAGCCGACAGUCCCGGCGCCCUGGGUCAGUGUGUGAGUUUUGCCUCUCCGCAGCCUCAGUGCCUGGCAGGUUUCCGGUGCUCAGCAACUGUGCAACAACUGCCCAGCAGGAAAGAAGGAAAGGACAGACGCAUCCCGGUGAGGUGGCGUGGCCCAUCAUGUCAUGGAGAAUCAGGGGAAGACUGCUUGUGACCCAGCCAGGGGAGAGAGGAGACCCUGGAGAUGUGUCCCCAUCCUGUCAAGAAGCGGCUGGACCACGUGCUGCUGAGAUGCGUCCACUGUGUGCAGAGGUGUCAUGGAAGUUGUCAUCAGGAGUGGUCUAGACCCCAGUGUCCUUGAGCUUGAAGGAAGACGAGGUAACGUUGGAGAGUUAUCCCUGGUCCUGACCUCCUGCCCCAUGGCCUCCUCGUCACUCUGCGGUGCUGCCUUGGAGGAAGCCUCAGGGAUGGAAGCUCUGGCCUCUCAGGAUGGUGACCUGGGUCCCAGCUCCCCUGGAAGGGCCUCCUCAUGGUUGUUCUGGGGCUGUUCACGGAUGCUGGCGUAGCAGAGUGAAGAGGGGUGUUGCCGCCGAUCAUCACCAGACCUCCUUCUCCUGUUGCCUUAGCACGGUAUGGAAGGGCUUUGUCCCUGUGAGCGGGGCAGAGGGCAAGUCCUGGGACUCUGGGGACUUGGGAUUCAGAACUGGAGACCUUCAGCUGGCUCUGCCCUUCCCAGCAGGUGCCACAGAGCACCGUGGACCCAGAAGUCUGCUUUCCUUCCGUCUGGACCAGGUCAUCCAGUGGCCUCCGUGUCCCCUUGUCUGCUCCUGGUGUAACUUUUUAGAAACAAGAGUUCCCAUUGGAGUCUUCUGUGCUGGGCAUCGUGUCCUCUAACCCACUUCAAUAAAUCUUGAAACUGCC